CCACCACCUUGCCAGUCUAAAAUCGCCACCUGCAUUGAGGAGCAUGCCUCUGGGCCACCUGCCUUCAGUCCCCAGCAUAACCCUGCCAGAGAGAAAGGCAUGAUUUACUUUUUCACUUAAAAUAUAAAACAAGGAACUCAGCAAAUGAUGAUUACCACAGAGACCCACAACUGGCCGGCGCAAAGAGUAAGAGACGACAGACUGAAUACAACACCUAUAUCAAACCAGGGCUCAGAGACCAUUGUGGAAGAAGGGGUGUAAAGAUCUUAAGAACCUGAGGAGGUGGAUGACCACAAGAAAAAGAGUUUUCCAGGCAGCUGGGCAACUAUUCAUAUGACCUGGCAACAUGCACAUAGACCCAUGUUAGUUCAAGCCAGACAAAAUCCCAGCAUAGCCAUGGGAAAGUGAGUAAGAAAUCCCAACCCUACCGGAGGAACUAUUGGCAGCUGAUGGCUGCUGGAAGCAGGAGAGUCGGUGUCAUUCAAGGCUGAAACUCCUGGGGAAACAACUGCAGACACAAAGAAGAUGCUCAUGAGUUCAGAAGCCUCCACAACCGGCAUCGUGACCCCAGGUGCAACCUGUAAGUCAUGCACUAUUGGCUGAACAAUUACUGAGUUCCUAGUCACCAGAGCAACUGUCCUCUUUGGGGGCAGAGCCUCAUCCAAACAAACCCCUGCCCUCCUUGAACUUACAGUGUAACAGACACUAAAAAAGAAUAAAUGAUAAAUCAGCUGGUUA
Molecule: long non-coding RNA, 738 nt
Organism: Nannospalax galili (Upper Galilee mountains blind mole rat)
Lineage: Eukaryota; Metazoa; Chordata; Mammalia; Rodentia; Spalacidae
Exons: 2
Source: RefSeq, a predicted model, not a curated record